GGGAUCCCGGGGGUUCGCUCCCGGGUGAGAGUGGCGAACGGGUGAGUAAUGCGUGACCGACCUGCCCCAUACACCGGAAUAGCUCCUGGAAACGGGUGGUAAUGCCGGAUGCUCCGGUUGGAUGCAUGUCCUUCCGGGAAAGAUUCCAUCGGUAUGGGAUGGGGUCGCGUCCUAUCAGCUUGAUGGCGGGGUAACGGCCCACCAUGGCUUCGACGGGUAGCCGGCCUGAGAGGGCGACCGGCCACAUUGGGACUGAGAUACGGCCCAGACUCCUACGGGAGGCAGCAGUGGGGAAUAUUGCACAAUGGGCGCAAGCCUGAUGCAGCGACGCCGCGUGCGGGAUGGAGGCCUUCGGGUUGUAAACCGCUUUUGAUCGGGAGCAAGCCCUUCGGGGUGAGUGUACCUUUCGAAUAAGCACCGGCUAACUACGUGCCAGCAGCCGCGGUAAUACGUAGGGUGCAAGCGUUAUCCGGAAUUAUUGGGCGUAAAGGGCUCGUAGGCGGUUCGUCGCGUCCGGUGUGAAAGCCCAUCGCUUAACGGUGGGUCUGCGCCGGGUACGGGCGGGCUGGAGUGCGGUAGGGGAGACUGGAAUUCCCGGUGUAACGGUGGAAUGUGUAGAUAUCGGGAAGAACACCAAUGGCGAAGGCAGGUCUCUGGGCCGUCACUGACGCUGAGGAGCGAAAGCGUGGGGAGCGAACAGGAUUAGAUACCCUGGUAGUCCACGCCGUAAACGGUGGAUGCUGGAUGUGGGGCCCGUUCCACGGGUUCCGUGUCGGAGCUAACGCGUUAAGCAUCCCGCCUGGGGAGUACGGCCGCAAGGCUAAAACUCAAAGAAAUUGACGGGGGCCCGCACAAGCGGCGGAGCAUGCGGAUUAAUUCGAUGCAACGCGAAGAACCUUACCUGGGCUUGACAUGUUCCCGACAGCCGUAGAGAUAUGGCCUCCCUUCGGGGCGGGUUCACAGGUGGUGCAUGGUCGUCGUCAGCUCGUGUCGUGAGAUGUUGGGUUAAGUCCCGCAACGAGCGCAACCCUCGCCCUGUGUUGCCAGCACGUCAUGG
RNAcentral lists this ribosomal RNA (1057 nucleotides) under bacterium IARFR2348D. Its description in RNAcentral is "bacterial SSU rRNA". It matches the Rfam family "Bacterial small subunit ribosomal RNA", at positions 68 to 1131 of the family's 1533-position model. The record is from RNAcentral.